AUACGUAGGUGACAAGCGUUAUCCGGAUUUACUGGGCGUAAAGGGCGUGUAGGCGGUCUUGCAAGUCAGAAGUGAAAUUCCUGAGCUCAACUCGGGCGCUGCUUCUGAAACUGCAGGACUUGAGUGCUGGAGGGGAUAGCGGAAUUCCUAGUGGAGCGGUAAAAUGCGCAGAUAUUAGGAAGAACACCGGUGGCGAAGGCGGCUAUCUGGACAGUAACUGACGCUGAGGCGCGAAAGCGUGGGGAGCAAACAGGAUUGGAUACCCUGGUAGUCCACGCCAUAAACGAUGAAUACUAGGUGUAGGGGGUAUCGACCCCCUCUGUGCCGACGUUAACACAUUAAGUAUUCCACCUGGGGAGUACGGCCGCAAGGCUGAAACUCAAAUGAAUUGACGGGG
Molecule: ribosomal RNA, 397 nt
Filed under: uncultured bacterium
Lineage: Bacteria
Description: partial 16S ribosomal RNA
Rfam family: Bacterial small subunit ribosomal RNA
Source: RNAcentral